This 358-nucleotide ribosomal RNA is filed under the name uncultured bacterium. Its description in RNAcentral is "bacterial SSU rRNA". It matches the Rfam family "Bacterial small subunit ribosomal RNA", at positions 8 to 353 of the family's 1533-position model. The record is from RNAcentral.
AGAGUUUGAUCCUGGCUCAGGAUGAACGCUAGCUACAGGCUUAACACAUGCAAGUCGGAGGGGAAACGACAUCGAAAGCUUGCUUUUGUAUGGGCGUCGACCGGCGCACGGGUGAGUAACGCGUAUCCAACCUCGCCCACCACUUGGGAUAACCUUGCGAAAGUAAGACUAAUACCCAAUGAUAUCUCUAGAAAACAUCUGAAAGAGAUUAAAGAUUUAUCGGUGAUGGAUGGGGAUGCGUCUGAUUAGCUUGUUGGCGGGGUAACGGCCCACCAAGGCAACGAUCAGUAGGGGUUCUGAGAGGAAGGUCCCCCACAUUGGAACUGAGACACGGUCCAAACUCCUACGGGAGGCAGCA